CCUACGGGUGGCAGCAGUGGGGGAUAUUGCACAAUGGGGGGAACCCUGAUGCAGCGACGCCGCGUGGGUGAAGAAGCGCCUCGGCGCGUAAAGCCCUGUCAGCAGGGAAGAAAAGGACGGUACCUGAAGAAGAAGCCCCGGCCAACUACGUGCCAGCAGCCGCGGGAAUACGUAGGGGGCAAGCGUUAUCCGGAUUUACUGGGUGUAAAGGGGGCGCAGACGGCGAUGAAAGCUAGGAGUGAAAGCGCGGGGGCCAACCCCGGGACUGCUCUUGGAACUGCGUGGCUGGAGUGGAGGAGGGGCAGGCGGAAUUCCUGGUGUAGCGGUGAAAUGCGUAGAUAUCAGGAGGAACACCGGUGGCGAAGGCGGCCUGCCGGACUUCAACUGACGCUGAGGCCCGAAAGCGUGGGGAGCAAACAGGAUUAGAUACCCGAGUAGUC
This 440-nucleotide ribosomal RNA is filed under the name uncultured bacterium. RNAcentral describes it as "partial 16S ribosomal RNA". It matches the Rfam family "Bacterial small subunit ribosomal RNA", at positions 338 to 795 of the family's 1533-position model. The record is from RNAcentral.